Theobroma cacao (cacao) is the source of this 305-nucleotide non-coding RNA. NCBI's taxonomy places the organism in Eukaryota, Viridiplantae, Streptophyta, Magnoliopsida, Malvales, Malvaceae. The record is from RefSeq and is a predicted model, not a curated record.
UAAAGAAAAAGUGUGGGAUUUCAAGGAAUCAAGCAAUCAAAGGUGGUGAGCCCUCUAACAAGGGUAGAGAGAUUAUGCCCGAAGAUCGGGAAUAGGAGUAUAUCGAACUCCUAGUAUUGCUCAGAGUAAACUGUAGAUAGCUGAUUCCAUCGAGGGCUUCUAUUGGAUUAGCGUCCUCCACACAGUAGGUUCACAGUUUCUUUAAUUCUGGUUAAUGUGGGCCCACUUGAUAUUGCAAAUGUAAUAGUUUAUUGUACUACAGUAUGAAUGAAUUUAUUUUAUUUUUACGUUACAAAAAGUAUUUA